This 253-nucleotide ribosomal RNA is filed under the name uncultured bacterium. RNAcentral's name for it is "partial 16S ribosomal RNA". It matches the Rfam family "Bacterial small subunit ribosomal RNA", at positions 524 to 776 of the family's 1533-position model. The record is from RNAcentral.
UACAGGGGGGGCAAGCGUUGUUCGGAAUUACUGGGCGUAAAGGGCUCGUAGGCGGCCAACUAAGUCCGACGUGAAAUCCCAAAGCUUAACUUUGGAACUGCGUCGGAUACUGGAUGGCUUGAAUUCGGGAGAGGGAUGCAGAAUUCCAGGUGUAGCGGUGAAAUGCGUAGAUAUCCGGAAGAACACCGGAGGCGAAGGCGGCUUGCUGGGCUUGGUCUGACGCUCAGGCGCGACAGCGUGGGGAUCAAACAGG